ACAAAGGCUCUUUUAAGAGCCACUACUGGUCCCAAAAAAGGAGCUG
This is a non-coding RNA of Calypte anna (Anna's hummingbird), 46 nucleotides long. The record is from Rfam. Lineage: Eukaryota; Metazoa; Chordata; Aves; Apodiformes; Trochilidae.